Molecule: unclassified non-coding RNA, 201 nt
Filed under: Hevea brasiliensis (rubber tree)
Lineage: Eukaryota; Viridiplantae; Streptophyta; Magnoliopsida; Malpighiales; Euphorbiaceae
Source: RNAcentral
UUUUCUAAAUUGUUAUUCCUUACACGUCUAUUUGGUAAAAUAAAGUACAAAUCACUAGUUUCUUGUUUCUCUCAAUUGGCUUCUGCUAGUCUUGAACGAAUUGUGUCAGGAUUUGAUAUCUUGCUAACAAGUAAGAGAAGAGUUCCAUUAGAUGCUGGUUUCUCAUAAAUCCAUUCAGGAGCCAAUUCUUGCAGUAAUAGG